This 212-nucleotide ribosomal RNA is filed under the name Chryseobacterium sp. CH1. RNAcentral describes it as "partial 16S ribosomal RNA". Lineage: Bacteria; Pseudomonadati; Bacteroidota; Flavobacteriia; Flavobacteriales; Weeksellaceae. The record is from RNAcentral.
GUGUGCCAACCUGCCGUUUAAUCUGGGGGAAUAGCCUUUCGAAAGGAAAGAUUAAAUUACCCCAUAAUAUACUGAAUGGUCAUUCAUUCGGUAUUGAAACUCCGGUGGAUAGAGUGUGCCAACCUGCCGUUUAAUCUGGGGGAAUAGCCUUUCGAAAGGAAAGAUUAAAUUACCCCAUAAUAUACUGAAUGGUCAUUCAUUCGGUAUUGAAA